GACGAACGCUGGCGGCGUGCCUAAUACAUGCAAGUUGAGCGCUGAAGGUUGGUACUUGUACCAACUGGAUGAGCAGCGAACGGGUGAGUAACGCGUGGGGAAUCUGCCUUUGAGCGGGGGACAACAUUUGGAAACGAAUGCUAAUACCGCAUAAAAACUUUAAACACAAGUUUUAAGUUUGAAAGAUGCAAUUGCAUCACUCAAAGAUGAUCCCGCGUUGUAUUAGCUAGUUGGUGAGGUAAAGGCUCACCAAGGCGAUGAUACAUAGCCGACCUGAGAGGGUGAUCGGCCACAUUGGGACUGAGACACGGCCCAACCUCCUACGGGAGGCAGCAGUAGGGAAUCUUCGGCAAUGGACGCAAGUCUGACCGAGCAACGCCGCGUGAGUGAAGAAGGUUUUCGGAUCGUAAAACUCUGUUGGUAGAGAAGAACGUUGGUGAGAGUGGAAAGCUCAUCAAGUGACGGUAACUACACAGAAAGGGACGGCUAACUACGUG
RNAcentral lists this ribosomal RNA (497 nucleotides) under uncultured bacterium. RNAcentral describes it as "partial 16S ribosomal RNA". It matches the Rfam family "Bacterial small subunit ribosomal RNA", at positions 28 to 507 of the family's 1533-position model. The record is from RNAcentral.